This 497-nucleotide ribosomal RNA is filed under the name uncultured bacterium. RNAcentral describes it as "partial 16S ribosomal RNA". It matches the Rfam family "Bacterial small subunit ribosomal RNA", at positions 28 to 507 of the family's 1533-position model. The record is from RNAcentral.
GAUGAACGCUGGCGGCGUGCCUAAUACAUGCAAGUCGAGCGAACGGACGAGAAGCUUGCUUCUCUGAUGUUAGCGGCGGACGGGUGAGUAACACGUGGAUAACCUACCUAUAAGACUGGGAUAACUUCGGGAAACCGGAGCUAAUACCGGAUGAUAUUUUGAACCGCAUGGUUCAAAAGUGAAAGACGGUCUUGCUGUCACUUAUAGAUGGAUCCGCGCUGCAUUAGCUAGUUGGUAAGGUAACGGCUUACCAAGGCAACGAUGCAUAGCCGACCUGAGAGGGUGAUCGGCCACACUGGAACUGAGACACAGUCCAGACUCCUACGGGAGGCAGCAGUAGGGAAUCGUCCGCAAUGGGCGAAAGCCUGACGGAGCAACGCCGCGUGAGUAGUGAAGGUCUUCGGAUCGUAAAACUCUGUUAUUAGGUAAGAACAUAUGUGUAAGUAACUGUGCACAUCUUGACGGUACCUAAUCAGAAAGCCACGGCUAGCUACGUG